This 490-nucleotide ribosomal RNA is filed under the name uncultured bacterium. RNAcentral's name for it is "partial 16S ribosomal RNA". It matches the Rfam family "Bacterial small subunit ribosomal RNA", at positions 28 to 507 of the family's 1533-position model. The record is from RNAcentral.
GAUGAACGCUAGCUACAGGCUUAACACAUGCAAGUCGCAGGGUAACAUGAGGAAAGCUUGCUUUCCUUGAUGACGACUGGCGCACGGGUGAGUAACGCGUAUCCAACCUUCCCAUAACUACGGGAUAACCCGUUGAAAGACGGCCUAAUACCGUAUGAUAUCGUUUGCUGACAUCAAAUAACGAUUAAAGGGUUAGCGGUUAUGGAUGGGGAUGCGUCUGAUUGGCUUGGUGGCGGGGUAACGGCCCACCAAGGCGAGGAUCAGUAGGGGUUCUGAGGGGGAGCGGCCCGACAGUGGAACUGGGAAACGGUCGAAAGUGAUACGGGAGGGAGCAGUGAGGAAGAUUGGUCAAGGGGCGAGAGCCUGAACCAGCCAAGUAGCGUGCAGGACGACGGCCCUAUGGGUGGUAAACUGCUUUUAUGUGGGGAUAAAGUGCGUGACGGGUCAUGCAUUGAAGGUACCACAUGAAUAAGGACCGGCUAAUUCCGUG